AUCUGCGAUAAGCGCCGGUAAGGUGAUAUGAACCGUUAUAACCGGCGAUACCCGAAUGGGGAAACCCAGUGUGACUCGUCACACUAUCAUUAACUGAAUCCAUAGGUUAAUGAGGCGAACCGGGGGAACUGAAACAUCUAAGUACCCCGAGGAAAAGAAAUCAACCGAGAUUCCCCCAGUAGCGGCGAGCGAACGGGGAGGAGCCCAGAGCCUGAAUCAGCAUGUGUGUUAGUGGAAGCGUCUGGAAAGGCGCGCGAUACAGGGUGACAGCCCCGUACACAAAAGCGCAUGUGCUGUGAGCUCGAUGAGUAGGGCGGGACACGUGGUAUCCUGUCUGAAUAUGGGGGGACCAUCCUCCAAGGCUAAAUACUCCUGACUGACCGAUAGUGAACCAGUACCGUGAGGGAAAGGCGAAAAGAACCCCGGCGAGGGGAGUGAAAAAGAACCUGAAACCGUGUACGUACAAGCAGUGGGAGCACCCUUUGGGUGUGACUGCGUACCUUUUGUAUAAUGGGUCAGCGACUUAUAUUCUGUAGCAAGGUUAACCGAAUAGGGGAGCCGGAGGGAAACCGAGUCUUAACCGGGCGUUAAGUUGCAGGGUAUAGACCCGAAACCCGGUGAUCUAGCCAUGGGCAGGUUGAAGGUUGGGUAACACUAACUGGAGGACCGAACCGACUAAUGUUGAAAAAUUAGCGGAUGACCUGUGGCUGGGGGUGAAAGGCCAAUCAAACCGGGAGAUAGCUGGUUCUCCCCGAAAGCUAUUUAGGUAGCGCCUCGUGAAUUCAUCUCCGGGGGUAGAGCACUGUUUCGGCUAGGGGGCCAUCCCGGCUUACCAACCCGAUGCAAACUGCGAAUACCGGAGAAUGUUAUCACGGGAGACACACGGCGGGUGCUAACGUCCGUCGUGAAGAGGGAAACAACCCAGACCGCCAGCUAAGGUCCCAAAGUCAUGGUUAAGUGGGAAACGAUGUGGGAAGGCCCAGACAGCCAGGAUGUUGGCUUAGAAGCAGCCAUCAUUUAAAGAAAGCGUAAUAGCUCACUGGUCGAGUCGGCCUGCGCGGAAGAUGUAACGGGGCUAAACCAUGCACCGAAGCUGCGGCAGCGACACUGUGUGUUGUUGGGUA
This 1124-nucleotide ribosomal RNA is filed under the name Salmonella enterica subsp. enterica serovar Enteritidis. RNAcentral's name for it is "partial 23S ribosomal RNA". It matches the Rfam family "Bacterial large subunit ribosomal RNA", at positions 64 to 1230 of the family's 2925-position model. Lineage: Bacteria; Pseudomonadati; Pseudomonadota; Gammaproteobacteria; Enterobacterales; Enterobacteriaceae. The record is from RNAcentral.